AACGUAGGACGCAAGCGUUAUCCGGAGUUACUGGGCGUAAAGGGCGUGUAGGCGGCGCUGCAAGUUCGUCGUGAAAGACCCCGGCUCAACCGGGGGAGGUCGAGGGAGACUGCGGCGCUGGAGGACGGCGGAGGGACAGGGAAUUCCGGGUGUAGUGGUGAAAUGCGUAGAGAUCCGGAGGAACACCAGUGGCGAAGGCGCUGUCCUGGGCCGUUGCUGACGCUGAGACGCGACAGCAUGGGGAGCGAACGGG
This 253-nucleotide ribosomal RNA is filed under the name uncultured prokaryote. RNAcentral describes it as "partial 16S ribosomal RNA". It matches the Rfam family "Bacterial small subunit ribosomal RNA", at positions 524 to 776 of the family's 1533-position model. The record is from RNAcentral.